This 1071-nucleotide long non-coding RNA is filed under the name Ursus maritimus (polar bear). RNAcentral describes it as "lncRNA (ENSUMAG00000024085.1)". The record is from RNAcentral. Lineage: Eukaryota; Metazoa; Chordata; Mammalia; Carnivora; Ursidae.
AGAUAGAGACAGCCAGCGAGAGAGGGAACACAGCAGGGGGAGUGGGAGAGGAAGAAGCAGGCUCCCAGCGGAGGAGCCCGAUGCGGAACUAGAUCCCGGAACACCAGGACCACGCCCUGAGCCGAAGGCAGACGCUUUAACGACUGCGCUACCCAGGCGCCCCCAAAGUCAGAUUUUAAAUUGAUGAAACAGCUCUCUCCCGGAAGACUAAGGCGCUACGCCCGCUACACGGCAACUCCCCAUUUCUCCCCCCGCCCAGCUCUGGCAACCUCCACUCGCCUUUUUGUGCCGAUGAACCGCCUACUUCAGUUACUUCAUAAACGUGGAAUCAUACAGUAUCUUUUCGCAACUGGCUCGCUGCCCUCAGCAGCGAGUCCUCGAGCUCCAUUCGCGCUGCAGGCAAGGCUGCGGAGAAGCUGGACCGCUCGGAACACUGCCGGUGGGGAUGCAACAUGGUGCAGCUGCUGUGCAAAGCAGAAAAAAAAGUUAAAACACAGAAUUAUGACUUGGCGAUUCGAAGCCUAGAUAGAUACCCAAAAGAAUUAAAAGCAGGCACUCAAGCAAAUGUACGUAUACACACGUUCAUAGCAACACUACUCACGAGAGCCAGAAGGUGGGAUCAGCCCCAAUGUCCAUCAAUGGAUGAAUGGAUAAGCAAACAGGGACAUAUACACACAAUGAAUUAUGCAGCUAUAAAAGGAAUGAAGUAUUGCUACAUGGGACGUGAGCCUCCAAAACACCAUGCUAAGUGAAAGAAGCCAGGCACGAAAAGGCACAUAUUGCACGAUUCCAUUUAUACGAGAAAUCCCACAUAGGUAAAUCCGUAGAGACAGAAAGCAGAUUGGUGGUUGCCAGGGGCCGGGGGGAGAGGGAAGUGCAGAGGGACUGCUUAAUGGGUGUCGGAUUUCCUUUGGGGGGGAUGGAAAUGUUUCAGAACUAGAUAGAGUUGUGGUUACCCAACACUGUGAAUGUACUAAAUGCCGCUGAAUUGUACACUUUGCAAAGGUUAAUUUUAUGUUCUGUGAAUUUCACUUUAAUAAAGGGAAUAUUGAAACGUCUGUAACGACCUAA